AUUUGGAUGACACUAGACUUAAUUUCAAAUUGUGCAGCAGCAGUGGUAUCAGGUAGUCGAAUACAAGAUGGAGAGGUAUAAAUGGAAGGAGUGAAAUACUCCUUUAAUAGCUUGGGUUGUUCUUCAGCCAUCUCGACAGGUGGAGCAAAUCUUAUGGUUCUAUAGGUACGGAUUUUGGCUCGAAGGGUCCUAAUAGAACGCUCUAUUUCAGAAUCAAAAGAUACUAAUUCAGGAGAUCUGGAACGACACCCUAGCAUACACUAAUACAUUUCUGAUCAGUCAAGUACAGUCAAGCAUGCAUUAAAAGAAAAACACAUCAAUUCCUUAUGUUUGCCCUAAAAUUACUAGACAGCUCCUAACUGGUUUGAAGAGGGCACCUAAGCCUCCAAUACGGUCUAAUGAACUGAGUUGACCAGGUA
This 419-nucleotide long non-coding RNA is filed under the name Phoenix dactylifera (date palm). RNAcentral describes it as "long non-coding RNA (PDAC_LNC014772)". Lineage: Eukaryota; Viridiplantae; Streptophyta; Magnoliopsida; Arecales; Arecaceae. The record is from RNAcentral.